UGGGGAAUAUUGCACAAUGGGGGAAACCCUGAUGCAGCAACGCCGCGUGGAGGAUGAAGCAUCUCGGUGUGUAAACUCCUUUUAUUUGGAAAGAUUAUGACGGUACCAAAUGAAUAAGCACCGGCUAACUUCGUGCCAGCAGCCGCGGUAAUACGAGGGGUGCAAGCGUUACUCGGAAUCACUGGGCGUAAAGGGUGCGUAGGCGGAUGAUCAAGUCUUGAGUGAAAGCCAACAGCUUAACUGUUGAAUUGCUUAGGAAACUGGUUAUCUAGAGUGAGGGAGAGGCAGAUGGAAUUGGUGGUGUAGGGGUAAAAUCCGUAGAUAUCACUAGGAAUACUCAUUGCGAAGGCGAUCUGCUGGAACUCUACUGACGCUGAGGCACGAAAGCGUGGGGAGCAAA
RNAcentral lists this ribosomal RNA (400 nucleotides) under uncultured bacterium. RNAcentral's name for it is "bacterial SSU rRNA". It matches the Rfam family "Bacterial small subunit ribosomal RNA", at positions 355 to 772 of the family's 1533-position model. The record is from RNAcentral.